RNAcentral lists this signal recognition particle RNA (95 nucleotides) under Verrucomicrobiota bacterium. Its description in RNAcentral is "Verrucomicrobia bacterium (mine drainage metagenome) signal recognition particle sRNA small type". It matches the Rfam family "Bacterial small signal recognition particle RNA". Rfam says of the family: The signal recognition particle (SRP) is a universally conserved ribonucleoprotein involved in the co-translational targeting of proteins to membranes. The record is from RNAcentral. Lineage: Bacteria; Pseudomonadati; Verrucomicrobiota.
UGCCAGGGGCCAUGGACUGCGGACCGGCGAACCCCGCCAGGGCAGGAAUGCAGCAACGGUAGCCAGCUCCACUUUGCCGUGGUUCCCUGGUGUCC